UCCAAAUCCAAACUUCCCUGAAAUAAUCCUGAAAUCUCCUUGUACAAUUGGUUUCUUCUAGUCAGAAUCUCGAGGAGGAACCCAUUGCAUUUAAUUAUAUUUUAAAAUUAGCUGUAUGUAAACAUGUUAUUAAUCUUUAACCUGCAUGCAGAAAAGUAAUCACAUCAUAGUUUAUAGCUUGAAUAGUACACACCCAGAGAACCGGCUGGAGCCAGGGAGUCAGAGCCUGGCAGCACCCCAAAGUCUCCAUCAUGCCCCACCCCAGUCACCACCCCCACCAAAGGGCUGUGUCCCAGACCCGUGUCCCCUCACGGUGCCAGUCUGCAGCCUGUCCCCCGCCCCCAGUGCUGAGCUAUAAAUACCUCUCCACCCACGACAUCUGCCUCCCACACACCGAGCGUGGCCUCCGGGGGAGAAGGACCCCAUUUCCCCUCUCAAGUUGCCGCUCUGGGGCUGAGCCAACAUUCAAACUCGGGUGAGUCCAGCAGGUCCUUUGCCCCAGGCCUUCGGCUGUCUCCUCCUUGGGGCUUAGUCCUUGGCCACCUCUGAGGUGCUGGGGACAUUCAAACAAGGCGCAUGCAUUCAUUUUGUUAGGUUUCUAAAGCAAACGGCCACAGAUGUAGCCACUUGAAACAGUGGACGUUUGUUCUCUCACCAGCAAAAAAAUCAAGGUGUGGUCCAAGUUGGUUCCCGGAGGCGCCGACAGGGUUUCGGGAUCCACAGGGAAGCGGGGACACCUCUGAGCUGGACUUACGAAAGCCCCAGUCUUCACAAGCAGAGACCCACAUGUCCUCCCUCGGGAUGAGCAUACGUGAAUGUGAAUGUCCACAUUCUUUCUUCCUUUAUUUUUCUAGGGCUGCGCCCACGGC
RNAcentral lists this long non-coding RNA (869 nucleotides) under Sus scrofa (pig). RNAcentral's name for it is "lncRNA (ENSSSCG00070002153.1)". Lineage: Eukaryota; Metazoa; Chordata; Mammalia; Artiodactyla; Suidae. The record is from RNAcentral.